CAGUCGAACGAUGAUGCCCAGCUUGCUGGGCGGAUUAGUGGCGAACGGGUGAGUAACACGUGAGUAACCUGCCCUUGACUUCGGGAUAACUCCGGGAAACCGGGGCUAAUACCGGAUAUGAGCCGUCCUCGCAUGGGGGUGGUUGGAAAGUUUUUCGGUCAGGGAUGGGCUCGCGGCCUAUCAGCUUGUUGGUGGGGUGAUGGCCUACCAAGGCGACGACGGGUAGCCGGCCUGAGAGGGCGACCGGCCACACUGGGACUGAGACACGGCCCAGACUCCUACGGGAGGCAGCAGUGGGGAAUAUUGCACAAUGGGCGAAAGCCUGAUGCAGCGACGCCGCGUGAGGGAUGAAGGCCUUCGGGUUGUAAACCUCUUUCAGCAGGGAAGAAGCGCAAGUGACGGUACCUGCAGAAGAAGCGCCGGCUAACUACGUGCCAGCAGCCGCGGUAAUACGUAGGGCGCAAGCGUUGUCCGGAAUUAUUGGGCGUAAAGAGCUCGUAGGCGGUUUGUCGCGUCUGGUGUGAAAACUCGAGGCUCAACCUCGAGCUUGCAUCGGGUACGGGCAGACUAGAGUGCGGUAGGGGAGACUGGAAUUCCUGGUGUAGCGGUGGAAUGCGCAGAUAUCAAGAGGAACACCGAUGGCGAAGGCAGGUCUCUGGGCCGCAACUGACGCUGAGGAGCGAAAGCAUGGGGAGCGAACAGGAUUAGAUACCCUGGUAGUCCAUGCCGUAAACGUUGGGCACUAGGUGUGGGGCUCAUUCCACGAGUUCCGUGCCGCAGCAAACGCAUUAAGUGCCCCGCCUG
This 804-nucleotide ribosomal RNA is filed under the name Cellulosimicrobium sp. MCCC 1A10536. RNAcentral's name for it is "bacterial SSU rRNA". It matches the Rfam family "Bacterial small subunit ribosomal RNA", at positions 59 to 875 of the family's 1533-position model. The record is from RNAcentral. Lineage: Bacteria; Bacillati; Actinomycetota; Actinomycetes; Micrococcales; Promicromonosporaceae.